UGAGUGUGAAAGAUAAUCGCGGGUGUUUUUUAACAUCUGAGGAAAGUCCGGGCUCCACAGGGCAAAUAUGCCGGAUAACGUCCGGCGAGGGUGACCUUAGGGACAGUGCUAUAGAAAUUUAAACCGCCUGGCAACAGGUAAGGAUGGAAAGGUGCGGUAAGAGCGCACCAGCAUAUAGGUAACUAUAUGGCUUUGGUAAACCCCAUAUGGAGCAAGACCGAAUAGGGAAGGGAUGAGGCGGCCCGCUGAUCCUUCCGGGUUGUGUCGCUUGAAUUGAUGGGCAACUAUCAAUCUAGAUAAAUGAUUAUCACCGCCACGCGGAUACAGAACUCGGCUUAUUGAUCACUCAUAAC
Molecule: RNase P RNA, 353 nt
Filed under: Pectinatus brassicae
Lineage: Bacteria; Bacillati; Bacillota; Negativicutes; Selenomonadales; Selenomonadaceae
Description: Pectinatus sp. TY Bacterial RNase P class A
Rfam family: Bacterial RNase P class A
About the family: Ribonuclease P (RNase P) is a ubiquitous endoribonuclease, found in archaea, bacteria and eukarya as well as chloroplasts and mitochondria. Its best characterised activity is the generation of mature 5'-ends of tRNAs by cleaving the 5'-leader elements of precursor-tRNAs.
Source: Rfam by way of RNAcentral